Molecule: ribosomal RNA, 253 nt
Filed under: uncultured bacterium
Lineage: Bacteria
Description: partial 16S ribosomal RNA
Rfam family: Bacterial small subunit ribosomal RNA
Source: RNAcentral
UACGGAGGGUGCAAGCGUUAUCCGGAUUUACUGGGUUUAAAGGGUGCGUAGGCGGGUCUUUAAGUCAGUGGUGAAAACUUCGAGCUUAACUCGAAAACUGCCAUUGAUACUAUUGAUCUUGAAUUUAGUUGAGGUUGGCGGAAUGUGUCGUGUAGCGGUGAAAUGCUUAGAUAUGACACAGAACACCGAUUGCGAAGGCAGCUGGCUAAACUAAAAUUGACGCUGAGGCGCGAAAGCGUGGGGAGCAAACAGG